Molecule: ribosomal RNA, 1369 nt
Filed under: uncultured bacterium
Lineage: Bacteria
Description: bacterial SSU rRNA
Rfam family: Bacterial small subunit ribosomal RNA
Source: RNAcentral
UAGAGUUUGAUCAUGGCUCAGAUUGAACGCUGGCGGCAUGCCUUACACAUGCAAGUCGAACGGUAACAGGGAGCUUGCUCCGCUGACGAGUGGCGAACGGGUGAGUAAUGUAUCGGAACGUACCAUUCAGUGGGGGAUAACGUAGCGAAAGUUACGCUAAUACCGCAUAUUCUGUGCGCAGGAAAGCAGGGGAUCGCAAGACCUUGCGCUGAUUGAGCGGCCGAUAUCAGAUUAGCUAGUUGGUGAGGUAAGAGCUCACCAAGGCGACGAUCUGUAGCGGGUCUGAGAGGAUGAUCCGCCACACUGGAACUGAGACACGGUCCAGACUCCUACGGGAGGCAGCAGUGGGGAAUUUUGGACAAUGGGGGCAACCCUGAUCCAGCCAUGCCGCGUGAGUGAAGAAGGCCUUCGGGUUGUAAAGCUCUUUCAGCCGGGAAGAAAAUGCAUGGGUUAAUACCCUGUGCAGAUGACGGUACCGGAAUAAGAAGCACCGGCUAACUACGUGCCAGCAGCCGCGGUAAUACGUAGGGUGCGAGCGUUAAUCGGAAUUACUGGGCGUAAAGCGUGCGCAGGCGGUUUUGUAAGACAGGCGUGAAAUCCCCGGGCUUAACCUGGGAACUGCGUUUGUGACUGCAAGGCUAGAGUACGGCAGAGGGGGGUGGAAUUUCACGUGUAGCAGUGAAAAUGCGUAGAGAUGUGGAGGAACACCAAUGGCGAAGGCAGCCCCCUGGGGUCGAUACUGACGCUCAUGCACGAAAGCGUGGGUAGCAAAACAGGAUUAGAUACCCUGGUAGUCCACGCCCUAAACGAUGUCAACUAGGUGUUGGGAGGGUAAAACCUUUUAGUACCGUAGCUAACGCGAGAAGUUGACCGCCUGGGGAGUACGGCCGCAAGGUUAAAACUCAAAGGAAUUGACGGGGACCCGCACAAGCGGUGGAUGAUGUGGAUUAAUUCGAUGCAACGCGAAAAACCUUACCUACCCUUGACAUGUCAGGAACUUUCCAGAGAUGGAUUGGUGCCCGAAAGGGAAUCUGAACACAGGUGCUGCAUGGCUGUCGUCAGCUCGUGUCGUGAGAUGUUGGGUUAAGUCCCGCAACGAGCGCAACCCUUGUCGUUAAUUGCCAUCAUUUAGUUGGGCACUUUAACGAGACUGCCGGUGACAAACCGGAGGAAGGUGGGGAUGACGUCAAGUCCUCAUGGCCCUUAUGGGUAGGGCUUCACACGUCAUACAAUGGUCGGUACAAAGGGUCGCCAACCCGCGAGGGGGAGCCAAUCCCAUAAAGCCGAUCGUAGUCCGGAUUGUAGGCUGCAACUCGCCUGCAUGAAGUCGGAAUCGCUAGUAAUCGUGGAUCAGCAUGUCACGGUGAAU